UCAGUCGAUUGGUUGAGGCCAUCAAGUUUACAAGAAUUACCCUACUAAUGCCAUAUGGGCACCAAUGCACAAUGUCCUUACUAAAACUCUUUAGGAUUCCUUACCGUGAUGAGAUGAGAUAUAAGGAUAGCCAUGAAGGAAUAACUCCAAAAUUGUUUGAGAAAUGACAACAAUGAGUAGUCAUGAUCCAUUUCUAUGCCAAACUAGACCAUAGUUAAAGCUCCAACCAGCUCAAGGAUACAAAACAACUCCAACACAAAAAGAAAUUACUUGCCUUAUCUACAGCACAAUUCCAUUCAAUUUAUCCUGCCACACACCUUCAACCACAAGUAAUAAAUACUCAUUCAUAUUCUUCACCCAUAGUUAAAGCUCCAACCAGCUCAAGGAUACAAAACAACUCCCAACACAAAAAGAAAUUACUUGCCUUAUCUACAGCACAAUUCCAUUCAAUUUAUCCUGCCACACACCUUCAACCACAAGUAAUAAAUAUUGUUAUUCACAUAUAUUGACCAAAAAACCUAUAUCUCAAACAGAUUACACGAACGUAACUUUUACCCAACAAGGUCAGAGUCCUCAUUCCCAAACUCAAUAUAGCCCUAAUAUUUUAAUCCUAGCAUCUCAACUGACAAUUUGGAAGAGAGACAAAAUAUGGAAACAAGAGGCACUCAAAAUCCUCAAAGUAUCCCUCCUCCUCCCUCUCUUCCCCAGAUGAUUUAUCAGAGGGACAGGAAAUAUGUGAUCGAAUUUCAACUAAAGUGAAAACAUCAACACUGAACCGAGCCCAUCCACAUUUCCAACAGCCAUAUUCAUGUUUCGAGCAUGCCAAAAAGUUCUAACACAGCGUUACCCCAUUAAGAACUUUCAAAUUUUAAAUAUUACCUUGAAGCCCUGCCCAUUUAAACGUUCCAAUUUCAAAGAGACAUCCUAGAAGAAAUAUGAACUCAUUAUCUUAAAUUAUACCGCCUCUACUUUUAUCUCUACCUUGUCCUUCGCUGAAUUUUUAAAGUAUAUAGGAAUUAAGUGAAAAAGAAAAAAGCCAAAAGAUAGAGUCGAAGUAUUUCACACCCUGAACCAAAGGCUUACAUAUAUCAUCUAACAAUCAAACCCUGUGGAAAUACUAUGAUUGUAUCCAUUAUAAAAAAGGAAGUUAGAGUCUUCACCUAGUUGGAUAUGCCAAGCUACAAUCCCAGAAUGUUGGGGAAGCUUCUCUUGUGAUCCUUUGGACUCUAUCCGAGGACUUCUUCUCAGAAGAAAUCCCAGGUCACCCGUGAAUUUCCUCCUCUGUAAACCUGAAAUCCAAAUUCAAGAGGAUACCCUCGUCCCUUGAUGCCCUAAACCACCUCUUCUUCUCAAUCUCACUCUUUUCUCAUUCUUGAAGUUCAUAAGGCUUUCGUCUUUCGUAAAAGUUCUCCCUUUCACCUUCAUUGCCUCUUUUUCUUCUUAGAACCCUCUACGGUUUCUCUCAAGUUGCCCCCUCUGUCUGAUGUCCUUGGCUUUUAUAGGCAAGGCAUGGUUUACUAACGAAGCUUCCCCUGCUUUCCUCUUCCUUCUUGGCCUCAGUGGAGCGCAGAAGACGUCGAGCUUCGAGACUUCUUCCUCAACCUGGUCAAUUCCCUCUCUUCUUUUCGAUCGCUGCACAUCUUCUUUCUUUGGUUUCGAUAAUUUACGGUCAGAGCCUCAACCUUAUACCUUGCCGCUGUCUACCUCCAGCUCCUUCCUCGUGCAGCAUACGUUCACCAAAAUCAUGCUUGGUUCAAACCAUGCUAUCUCCUGCUUGCCUCUCUUCCUUCUUUGGUGCAAAAGGUUCAUGUGAAGAGACCACGGAACCCAGCUUCUCUUUGACAGUGCGGAUACGAGCCUCCUAGUAGGGAAGCUUGUCACCACCAAGCUUCAAGAGAAGCAUUCCCCUUCCAAUGAAACGAUGGCGUUUCACCGAGGGAUCCUUCUUCCUUUCUUUGUCUAAAACAAAAAGGCAUUAGGCCUUCGGGCCGGAUUUUAGAGGUUUCGCGAUGGGCGUUUUGAGCAAGUAGGAAUUGCAUGGGUUUGGUUGGGUUUAAGAGUUUAAAAGGGCUAACGGGGUGGGUUGGGGUUUUAAAUGGUUAUAAUUUUUUAU
Molecule: long non-coding RNA, 2113 nt
Filed under: Carica papaya (papaya)
Lineage: Eukaryota; Viridiplantae; Streptophyta; Magnoliopsida; Brassicales; Caricaceae
Description: long non-coding RNA (CPAP_LNC010348)
Source: RNAcentral